This 500-nucleotide ribosomal RNA is filed under the name uncultured bacterium. RNAcentral's name for it is "partial 16S ribosomal RNA". It matches the Rfam family "Bacterial small subunit ribosomal RNA", at positions 30 to 523 of the family's 1533-position model. The record is from RNAcentral.
AUUGAACGCUGGCGGAAUGCUUUACACAUGCAAGUCGAACGGCAGCACGGACUUCGGUCUGGUGGCGAGUGGCGAACGGGUGAGUAAUGUAUCGGAACGUGCCCAGUCGUGGGGGAUAACGUAGUGAAAAUUACGCUAAUACCGCAUACGAUCUAUGGAUGAAAGCGGGGGAUCGCAAGACCUCGCGCGAUUGGAGCGGCCGAUAUCAGAUUAGGUAGUUGGUGGGGUAAAGGCCCACCAAGCCAACGAUCUGUAGCUGGUCUGAGAGGACGACCAGCACCACUGGGACUGGGACACGGUCCAGAAGCCUACGGGAGGCAGCAGUGGGGAAUUUUGGACAAUGGGCGAAAGCCUGAUCCAGCCAUUCCGCGUGCAGGAUGAAGGCCCUCGGGUUGUAAACUGCUUUUGUACAGAACGAAAAGGUUUCUACUAAUACUAGGAGCUCAUGACGGUACUGUAAGAAUAAGCACCGGCUAACUACGUGCCAGCCGCCGCCGUAA